GACUACCAAACUUCACUCAAGGAGAAAGAUCUUGGGGUGAGUAUAACACCGAGCACGUCUCCAGAAGCACACAUCAACCAGAUAACUGCUGCAGCAUAUGGGUGCCUGGCAAAUUUGAGAAUAGCAUUCCGAUACCUUAGUAAGGAAUCGUUCAAGACACUGUACACCGUGUGCGUCAGGCCCAUAUUGGAGUAUGCAGCACCUGUUUGGAACCCACACUUGAUCAAGCACUUCAAGAAAUUAGAGAAAGUGCAAAGGUUUGCGGCAAGGUUAGUUCCAGAGCUAAGGGUUAUGUCCUACUAAGAACGGUUAAGGUAAAUCGGCCUGACGACACCGGAGGACAGGAGGGUUAGGGAAGACAUGAUAACAACAUACAAAAUACUGCGUGGAAUAGACAAGGUGGACAGAGACAGGAUGUUCCAGAGAGGGGACACAGAAACAAGGGGUCACAAUGUCAUGUAGGAGGGUAUUGGAAUGUAUGGAUAAUUGGGGAAUAACGGAGUGGUAGGCAGUAGGCAGGAGAGGUGAGUCGGGCACGGAGGUAAUGUGAGGUCACUGGUGACUACACCUUCACCUCUCAUUAUCCCUACCACUACACUACUCACCCUCUCACUACUUGAAAUAAAAUAAUGAAUAAAAGAGCAAAUAACGGGGACAGUGAAUAUUACUAUUCUACUCAAACACAGUUUAUCAUUAAGACCUUGUACAAUAAUAUAUUUGGGAACAGGAGUUUAGGUAAAUGGGGAUGGUACAUAUAAGCAGUGAGACAGGGAAUACAAUCAACUGACGAAACAGAAUAUAACUUACAAUAUAGUUCAGAGGAUAGUUCACCACAGGAACUCAGCCACAGGUCCCAAGACCUACACAGCCGAGUACUGCUCCAAGCCAAUACUCUGCCCAAUGUCUCCAACAGAGUCUCCUCCCGAGACUCUCCAGCUCAGCUCUGCACACAGACCAGAGCUCUGCUCGACUCCCUGAUCAUGCUGUUCCUUGGGCUUAUAUGAUCUCGAGAGCACCCCCACAAUGGGGUGUGCACUACGUGUUUUGACCUGACGCCGAGAUCUGACACCAUCAAGAACAAAAGACCUCAGACUUAAGCCAAAAGGCAUGUCUGACAGCUAUUUGCCAAGGCAAGGUGUGACCAUAUAAUUGGUUAAAUUAGGUCUCCCUUCAGAGACACAUGCAUAGUGGACUACAUCACAACAAUUGGAAGUUGAAGAACCAGAUGAGUCAAAGGAAUGUUAGGAAGUAUUUCUUCAGUCAUAUAGUAGUCAAGAAGUGGAAUAGCCUAGCAAGUGAGGUAGUGGAGGCAGGAACCAUACAUAGCUUUAAGAUAAUGUAUGAUAAAGCUAAUGAAGUAGGGAGAGAGAGGACCUAGUAGCAUUCAGUGAAGAGGCAGGGGCAGGAGCUGAAUCUCGACCCCUGCAACCACAAUUAGGUGAGUACAAUUAGGUGAGUACACACACACAGAGGCGGGGCCAGGAGGGGAGUCUCGAUCCCUGCAACCACAAAUAGGUGAGUACACACACACGUGGUAAUGCUUUAUUAACAGGGGGCAAAGUCAGGGUAUUUUUCCAGAAUGGUCUAUAAUAUACCAGUUUGGAUAAAACACUUUGACAUACCUUGAACAUUUCUGAGUAAGUUGUCUUGGGCAAACCCCAACCCUCAUUUAAGGUCUUGUACUAGUCGAGAUUUAUUAUUAUUAUUAUUAUUAUUAUUAUUAUUAUUAUUAUUAUUAUUAUUAUUAUCGAAAUUAAGUGCUAAACCCACAAGGAUCAUACACCAUGAGUAUGGGGUCCAUAAUAAAGACAUUAAACUAAAAAAAAGGAAAUAAUACACAACAUCGACCUUGCGAGGUGGUUAAGGCAACUGUUGAGGUGUUGUGGACUCAACACCGUGAGUCAGUCUCAACUCUUUCAUCAAUAAUUUGUUUCCUUUAAGGAACCUGAAAACUAGUGAUGAUGAACUUAUCUGUAAUACAAAUUUAAAAGCAGUAUGAACUUGAAAAAAAAGAUUUAAGUUUACAAUUUUUAGUAUUAUUUUUAUAAUUAAGGGGGAAGCGCUAAACCCGUAGGAUUACAUAGCGUCUAUGGGGGGGGAUGGAAGGUAUUCAGGCUUAAUUCAGGGAACUGAACACAGAUCCAGUUCCUCAGAUCAAGAGCCCCUCACCAGCAUCAAGGAACCUUCCUUGAGAAGUUACAAUUUUUAAACUGGCUUACUGAAACAAUAUUUAUGUCGUGUGGUUGUCAUAGCAACCUACAAUAAGAAAUUCAGGCAUCAUCACCAUCAUCAUCAUCAUCAUCAUCAUCAUCAUCUUCAUCAUCAUCAUCAUCAUCAUAAUAAUAAUAAUAAUAAUAAUAAUAAUAAUAAUAAUAAUAAUAAUAAUAAUAAUAAAUCUUAAACAGUGGAAAAUGAUAAAACACUUUUCACAAAAGUGUUUGAAAAUACUUUAAUUGUUACUGCUAACAUAUCCAUGUAUAGUAAUAUAAUAAAGUGAAAAGUUAAACUAAUUAGGGUAAUACAACACCUGGGAAAUAGGAGGCAAUCAGGUUUGAUCCGAGGAGGGGGAGAGAAGAUCCUAUUCCUCGAAUUUCAUAUAUAAUAAUUUCAUAUAUCAAAUAAGUAGUCUAGAAUCAUAAUAUAAUUCAAAUGAUCAUAACACUCGAGGUGCUGGUGAUCACCAACGUUACCGUCACUCGAGGUGCUGGUGAUCACCAACGUUACCGUCACUCGAGGUGCUGGUGAUCACCAACGUUCAUGUCAAUAUAAUUUGACAAUAUGACUCAACGAUACUUACCACAAAAAUAUACUGGAAAAUUUGUUACAAAAUGCAUUAAUAUUGACAAAAAAAAAAUCAGUGAUAAGGGAAUAUGCUGAAGGGCG
Non-coding RNA from Cherax quadricarinatus, 2883 nucleotides. NCBI's taxonomy places the organism in Eukaryota, Metazoa, Arthropoda, Malacostraca, Decapoda, Parastacidae. The record is from RefSeq and is a predicted model, not a curated record.